RNAcentral lists this transfer RNA (69 nucleotides) under Hydrophilidae sp. BMNH 1274343. Its description in RNAcentral is "tRNA-Gln". Lineage: Eukaryota; Metazoa; Arthropoda; Insecta; Coleoptera; Hydrophilidae. The record is from RNAcentral.
UAUAUUUUAGUAUAUGAUGUAUGAAAGCUUUUGGAGCUUUAGGGAGUAGUUUAAUUCUACUAAAUAUAA